GUAAGCGCGCGCAGGCGGUUCUUUAAGUCUGGUGUUUAAACCCUAGGCUCAACUUCGGAUCUCACUGGAAUCUGGGGCACUUGAAUGCUGAUAAAGAGAAUGGAAUUCCCCGUGGAACCGUGAAAUGCCUAAAUAUGUGGAAGAACCCCCCUGGCCAAAGGCACUCUCUGGGCUGUACCUGACCCUGAAGGCCGAAAGCCUGGGGAACCAACCGGAUUAAAUUCCCCGGUAAUCCCCCCCCCAAACCAAUACUGCUAGGAGGUUGGGUGCUCUAUGCCCCUGAUGCCCAAAUCUACCCCUUUAACUUCCCCCCCGGGGAAUUCCGGCCCCAAAACUGAACUUCAAAGGAUUUGCCGGGACCCCCCCCAACCGGGGAAUUAUUGGUUUAAUUUCAAUCCACCCCAAAAAACCUUACCUGUCCUGGCCUCGCUCAGAAUCCUCCAGAGAUGGAUGCGUCCCUCCGGAAACACGUGACCGGGGGCUCCUGGGUGGCCUCCACCUCUGGCCUUGAAAGGUGGGUUAAAUCCCCCCACCAACCCCACCCUUGGUUCUUAUUUCCCACCCCUGAUUGUGGGCACUCCUAAAUAAACCCCCGGGAACAACCCGAAGAAAGGUGGGA
This 619-nucleotide ribosomal RNA is filed under the name Sinorhizobium sp. p10_G01. Its description in RNAcentral is "partial 16S ribosomal RNA". It matches the Rfam family "Bacterial small subunit ribosomal RNA", at positions 561 to 1179 of the family's 1533-position model. The record is from RNAcentral. Lineage: Bacteria; Pseudomonadati; Pseudomonadota; Alphaproteobacteria; Hyphomicrobiales; Rhizobiaceae.